AUGGGGACCGAGCAAGGGAAGGAAGGAACGGGAGCGGGGGAGGGGCGCGUGGAGGUGCGCACGGGGCCGAGGCCAGCGCUGCCGGCGCCGCAGCAGCGGGCGGUGGACGGGUUCUGGAGGGAGCGGCAGGAGGAGAUGGAGGCGACGGCGGACUUCAACGACCGCAUACUGCCCAUGGCCCGCCUCAAGAGGCUCAUCCGCGCCGAGGAGGACGGCAUGAUGAUCGCCGCCGACACGCCGGCGUACCUGGCCAAGCUCUGCGAGCUCUUCGUGCAGGAGCUCGCCGUGCGCGCCUGGGCGUGCGCCCAAUCCCACCACCGCCGCAUCAUACUGGAAUCGGACAUCGCCGAGGCCAUCGCCUUCACCCAGUCGUACGACUUCCUCGCCACCGUGCUCCUCGAGCACCAACGGGAGGCGCGGCUGGCCGGCCGUGCUGCUAUCCCGACAACGGUUCCGGUGACGGCGGCGAGGGCAAGGCUCAUCACCAGGAAGCGCCACAUGCCGGACCCGAAUCCUCCACGGCCGGUGCAUGGGGUGCGGAGAAUUCGUCCUCGUGCGCUUCCUAUCCCGCCGCCGUCGGACUUUCGCUACGUGCCGGUUCCAUUUCCGUUCACCUCGGCGCCGAUAGGAGCCGCAGCGAUGGCGGAGGGGCUGAUGAUUCUCCCACCCAUCAACCACGCGACUACCGAGCGCGUGUUCUUCCUGGACAGGAACAGCGGCACUGACUUCGCAGGUGAAAACUCUGCUGCUGAAACUAUAGCAUCUCCGCCUCCUCCGGCAGGGCCUGCAGGAGCAGUGGCGCUGCCCACUGUCCAUCCUGCUGCUUACUACUUGUGCGCUUACCCGGUGACCAACGACGUUGAGGCCUUUGCCGUUGGCAACACUGAUCCUGAUGUCAUCCCACCGGAGAUUGUAGUGGGAGACGUCGCCAUCCCACCGGAGAUUAUAGAGGGAAACGUCGCCGAUGGCAACGGCGACGGCGGACAGCAGCAGCAGCAGAGCGAAAACCUUGGUGGUAAUGGUGAGAGUGUGGUGGUGUCGCAAAGCAAUGGUGUGCAGGAAGAUGGUGCAGAUGGGAUGUUUCUGAAGGAGAUCCUCAUGGAUGAAGACCUGAUGUUUCCCGACGCUGAGCUUUUUCCGUUGGUGGGCGCUGCACCUGGUCCAGAGGAUUUCAUCGUCGACCAAGAUGUUCUCGACGACGUCUUCGCCAACCCGAGCAGCAGCGCAAGCAGCGACUGA
This 1239-nucleotide ribosomal RNA is filed under the name Triticum aestivum (bread wheat). Its description in RNAcentral is "partial small subunit ribosomal RNA". The record is from RNAcentral. Lineage: Eukaryota; Viridiplantae; Streptophyta; Magnoliopsida; Poales; Poaceae.